RNAcentral lists this ribosomal RNA (432 nucleotides) under uncultured bacterium. Its description in RNAcentral is "partial 16S ribosomal RNA". It matches the Rfam family "Bacterial small subunit ribosomal RNA", at positions 29 to 507 of the family's 1533-position model. The record is from RNAcentral.
GCGCACGCUGGCGGCAGGCUUCACACCUGCAAGUCGCGCGGGCCCUUCGGGGUCAGCGGCAGACGGGUGAGUAACACGUGGGAACGUACCCUUUGGUUCGGAAUAACGCUGGGAAACUAGCGCUAAUACCGGAUACGCCCUUUUGGGGAAAGGCUUGCUGCCGAAGGAUCGGCCCGCGUCUGAUUAGCUAGUUGGUGGGGUAAUGGCCUACCAAGGCGACGAUCAGUAGCUGGUCUGAGAGGAUGAUCAGCCACACUGGGACUGAGACACGGCCCAGACUCCUACGGGAGGCAGCAGUGGGGAAUAUUGGACAAUGGGCGCAAGCCUGAUCCAGCCAUGCCGCGUGAGUGAUGAAGGCCUUAGGGUUGUAAAGCUCUUUUGUCCGGGACGAUAAUGACGGUACCGGAAGAAUAAGCCCCGGCUAACUUCGUG